AUUGAACGCUGGCGGCAUGCUUUACACAUGCAAGUCGAACGGUAACAGGCCGCAAGGUGCUGACGAGUGGCGAACGGGCGAGUAAUGCAUCGGGACGUGCCCAGUCGUGGGGGAUAACUACUCGAAAGAGUAGCUAAUACCGCAUACGAUCUAUGGAUGAAAGCGGGGGACCGUAAGGCCUCGCGCGAUUGGAGCGGCCGAUGUCAGAUUAGGUAGUUGGUGGGGUAAAGGCUCACCAAGCCAACGAUCUGUAGCUGGUCUGAGAGGACGACCAGCCACACUGGGACUGAGACACGGCCCAGACUCCUACGGGAGGCAGCAGUGGGGAAUUUUGGACAAUGGGCGCAAGCCUGAUCCAGCAAUGCCGCGUGCAGGAAGAAGGCCUUCGGGUUGUAUACUGCUUUUGUACGGAACGAAACGGCUCUGGUUAAUACCCGGGGCUAAUGACGGUACCGUAAGAAUAAGCACCGGCUAACUACGUG
RNAcentral lists this ribosomal RNA (482 nucleotides) under uncultured bacterium. RNAcentral's name for it is "partial 16S ribosomal RNA". It matches the Rfam family "Bacterial small subunit ribosomal RNA", at positions 30 to 507 of the family's 1533-position model. The record is from RNAcentral.